Molecule: long non-coding RNA, 5374 nt
Filed under: Pomacea canaliculata
Lineage: Eukaryota; Metazoa; Mollusca; Gastropoda; Architaenioglossa; Ampullariidae
Description: uncharacterized LOC112556186
Source: RNAcentral
ACUUCCUGCAGACGUAGAGUGGGACUAUUGUAUAAGAACAUUGCCCUAUAUUAUUCAUGUCGUUGUAAGUGUGAGGUUUUUAUUGUUGUAAUCAUCGUAUAACAUUAUAUUUGUGCUACUAUGAGUAUUUUGUAUUUUUACCAAGAACAACAAAAUCCGGGUAAACGGUACUUUAGGAGCUUAGUAGGUUUCUUUAGAUGUUAUUGAAACUACGAAGCUGUCUUCUGUAUAAAUUAGUUAAUCUUUCGAAUGUACCCACAUUUUCUAGUAUUGGUUAUCGGUUCACUUACAACUUGUUUGUCAUUAUUAGAACUAAUUCAGAUAAUGUUAUUGCAAUUAAAAAUUUAUUGAACAGUUCAAGACUGUCGUGGUUUUUAGACCAACAGGAUGAUGUAAAGAUUUUCACACACUGGCUUAAAUAAGUUUAAGAAAAUGUUUAUUGGACAUGUAUAUCCAAAUAAUAGUGCUAUAGAUCGUAUUAAAAGAAUGUCUAUUCGAAUGACAUAUUAUAAAGCCUCUUUCUCUUGUGAAAACUAUAUCCCUCUAUUAUGAUUUAAGAAUCUCAAAUAACAAUUCUUUGAGUUGAUUGUAGUAUACUGAGAUCCUUACUGCACCAUGUUAACUAAAGCUUGUGAUAUUGAACAGAAGUCUCACAACAUUCUAGUUUGUGAUUACUUUAGAAAAGAAACAGAAAGAUUAAUACCGGAAUAUUAUUUUAAUAUUAUUAUUUUAAUAUCUGAAUGCAGUUAAAGCUAACAGUCAAAUAGCUGUUGCUACUGUUGUUUGUUUGAAGGCUACUGUGUUCUGUGUUCUGUGUGUCUUGUCUAUGGUUAUAUGGUUUUAUAUUGUUAUGCACAGUGACGCAUAUUUUGCAUCAGAUAUUCCUUCUUUUUUGUACUAGGAGUACAAUUUUGUAAUGGAAAUAUUAUUAUUAAUUUUGACUUUUUGUAUUGUUUGUGUAUAAUUUAUUUGCUAUUACAGUAAAACCUCUCUAUGAAGAUCUUCCCGAUUACGAACCUCUCUUAGUUACGACUCAUACAUUUCUCCUGGAAAUAUAUAUAAGCGUCAUCUCCAUUCCGACCAUCUCCUUAACUCACCUUACGACCGACAGUUUGAGCUCUAUGGCGACUUUGGACAGAAAUUUGUGUUUAAAAAAAUUAGUAUAUUUUAAGAAAGACUACUUCUGGUCAACUGUUUACACUAUUGAUAUCAUUUUCCACCUCAGUACACGUAAUGAUCUGUUCAGGCCUUUCUUAGCCCCCACGGGGAUUAAUUAGGAGCCUAAUUAGCAUAUUAAUGAAAAGCGCUAGGUCGUGGUUCGCGAAAUAAAAGCAGACUGGUUUAUCUAUCUGUUAUGGGAAAAAAAGGUGAUUUUGAUGGAUUAUACCAAAUCUUAAUAGACAUGUUUUACUGUACUACCCGCCAGGACGGUUUUACUUGAUGAUCUUCCAUAGAAUAGCUUUCUUUUGACAGUUAUAAUAAACGUUAAAACGGAAGUGUUUGUCAGGAUUCACGCGUGCUUGUGUAUGUGUAUGUUUGAGAGAGAGAGAGAGGGAACUACUAGAGAAAAGUGCCAAAAAAGUUGACUUCUUCGGUAGUGGUAUGUAAAUUACUGGAAAAAACGACAUACAUCUAAAAAUCAUUGUAAAAACUAUUAUAAAAUGAUUUUGCAAAGUUUUAGAUAUAGCUAAGUACAAGUCCAAGACACUAAACUGAUUAUGAGAAGAAAGAACAAACUAUACCACUUAACAUGAAGGCUAGAGAAGUUCUUUCGGUGCAGAAAACGCAUAUUAAAUUACAAAAAUUAACUGUUUUCUCCCGCUUUAUACCAUGAUUUUUAUCAUGGAUAGCUUGCGAUUGAACCAGUUGAUAACCUGCUUAGCAACGAGAUAUCCACACAUCAAAGAUGGCUGCUACGCAGGAUAACAUGACCUGUGCAGUCUGUUCAGAAGUUUACAGGUCAACAAGAUUUCUGCCAAGUCCAAGAAAAGCGAGCGGCAAUAAUGGAACAGAUUCAAGUCCGGUAUGACGUCAUUGUGGCCAUGGCAGCAAAAUAUCGCCACCAAGCACUUAUGGAACUCAAGAAAGCUUCCGAUGAUUUGGAGAAAGAUCUGGCCGCUGACACAUAGCGAGUACAGGAUGAGCUCAACUCUCUUCUCCAGCUCCAAUCCCGCACUCAACACGCGCUGAGUUCCACCUGUGACACGGAGGUCCUGCAGGUGGAGAGAGAGAUGACACGGGGAGAAGGAAGUUCAAAGCAACUGAGAGAACGAGAAGAUGGACUGCCUGUCACGACUUACCGCCAUGUACUCCACGGUGACUUCUAUAACUACAUUGAGGAUCACUACAUGAAGACAUUUAUCGGGUCACCAGUCCAGUUGAGUUUUCCAAGUAAGAAAGCCGUAGAAAUUGUUAGAGUGGGUCGAUGUGGCGAUAGAGGAUGUCGGGAAGUGCAUGCUUUGGGGCAGCGAAAGGACUGACGCAUCGAAGUGUAUUAUGGGGGAGCAGGAGGCGACUAUACUAAAGAGAAAGGUGUGUGUUUUGACUCUAAUGGUCGUAGAGGACCUGAGACAGACUACGGUACGCGGAUAUCAUACAUCUCACGUGAGAAUAUUAUUUUCCGAUGGGAUGAGUUCUCAUUUUGUGCUCUUCCUUCUAAGAACAAAUGUCUGCAUUCUUUAGUUCAGGACUUUGAAUCAGGUGUACUUCAUAUAGUUUCAAUCAAUUGGAAAAAAAAGAGAUAAAAAGGAAAGGAUCUCUUUUUUAUUGACCCCAAAGAUACACAGGGUACAUAACUUUGAUUCAAACGAGCAAGGGACGUUUUUUGCUUUAGUAGAUGAAGAUGAAGGUGAGAACACAAAUGAUGAACUAGUAAAGAUAAACAAGAGUGAAGCGGGUAGCCGGUCAUCCCGUGUAGUACGUCUGUAUUCCAACAAAUCCAACGACCCCAUAGCGACCUUCACGCAAAAGAACUUCUUCCCAACAGACGUCUGCUUUUGUGGCAAAGAUGUGCUGCUGAUCGCUGAUUGGAUGAACGACUGUGUGCACGUGACAAGAGUAUCACACAGUGGCAUCGAGUUUGUCUGCUUCCUUCCUGGCAGUGGUGACAUGGUGCGGCCCACAGCUCUGAACCUUGACCUUAACGGUCAGCUGCUGAUUGGAUGUGGUGAUGGCUGGGUCCUUAGAGUACCUGUCAACUACUAGGAAAUACUUCAUUAUAAAAUUUUCUCUCGCGUGUGGCAUUAUACUAGGCAGUACAUGACAAUGACACCCACAGAACAUAACAAAAAAGGAGGAAAUACAUUUAAAUGCUAAUGCGUGGAAGUUAUGUCAACAAUAAAACUUUAAUGAAUUAAAAUAAUUGCUCAAGACAGCAGCACAGCAAAGAUUCUCUGAACUGUAUGCCGUCUUUUUGUGCAAAGGCUAAAAAGCAAAUGCUUAUUAUCCUUUUUAUGAUGUGCCUAAACACUAGAACAAUUAUGUCUCACCAUCUUUAAAGGUUUAUAUUCUUAUAAGAUUCUCAAAGCGAUUAACAAGAUUCAAGUUUAUACUACAUAUGCGCACAAUACAGGCUUUUACAAAGAAUGUUGAACAGUAAUGCAGAAUCUUGUCUUAAUAGUAUGUUGUGUUUUUAUUUUGGCAACAUAAGCCAAGCUGCAAAAACAUCAGUGUUCUGUGGUUAUACACCACCUGUUGGGUUACCAUGUAAAGCAUGACAAGCUAACGAAUGGAUGCAAAGUCUCCCUAUUUGACUUUUUCUUUAUCAACUCUGCCUAGAAAUUAUUUGUUUCUGAUGCAACUACCAUAAGUUAUACACAACAAAAAUGUGGUGAAUGUCAACAAACGAUAAUGUAAACGACAGGUACAAGAGACCUUUCAUACAGUAAAACAAAUGAUGUUGCGACUAGAAGUCCCAAAAACUGAGCCGUUGACUGUUGUGGAGGAACUGCAAACUGUGUUCAAUAGGUCUGAACAGUUGCUGCACAUGGAUACAGAAGAACUCAAUUUCUUGAAUGUUUUCAAAGACAAAACGAUUUCACUCAUGUUCUUAUUUAGCAGGUGCAGACCAGUGAGUUGAGUGCUGCAGUUGUUUUGAAUUAUACUCUUGGAUUCUGAAGGAAACAACAGACACUUUUGUGCUGCAUCUGCGAAUAACAAAAUUUAUACUGUUACUUCUUUAAAUUUGUUACCAAUUCACUAUUUUUGCAAAGAUAUUACCUGUAUAGAAGUAUUUACAUGUAUACAAACUAUAUUCUUUGAUCUUUCGUAGAUGUAAAAAUAAUCAUUAAUUUGAAUUACUAGCAAAGUUGUUGCUAUAAUCAGAUCUGAGAAAGUUUACUUUCAUUUGAGAAAAACUUUGCCAAAGUGUAUCAUAUUCGCUAGUUUUGUUCCCGACAUAGACAAGCGUUUGCUCGUGCUAGUGUCACUUUGUGUUUGUGUGUGCGUCCGCUCUUUUUUGUAGGUAGUUUAUUGUAAACCCGUGUUGCCAGUACACGAACGGUAAAACAAUAUGGAUGGCACCUGGCGUCAAGAUUUCUGAAAAUAAUAUUUCUUGAUGAAACUCUUUGAGGGCUUAUUCUCUUCGGUAUGACUACAAAUGUACCAAAAGAUACAGUUUUGUGAGAAGACUAUCUAGGAAAAACCUCAUGUAGUCAAGAACUUUCUGCACUACUUCAAAGAUAAAUUUUUGAUUUAAAGUUUACUUUCGAAAAGUUUAACAGAGAAAUAUAAAAUUUUCUUCAACACUGGCUUUUAUAUCAACAUCUUAUUUGAACUCAAGUGUUACACCUGUGUUACAAAACAUGCACAGAGAGAGAGAAGAGAAAUUUAAAAGUGUGAAAGAAAAAAUUGUUAGCUUGCUUCCUACUGCAUCAACUAAUAUAUUUGGGUUGUGUUUAUUUACGCUUUGCAGUAUGUUAUCUUCGAUCAGCAAUACAUGGUUGUAAGCAAGCGAUUAUGUCACAAUUCACUCGUCUAAUCGCCCUCGGCUUAGUGCAAUCAAAAUUAGCGUUGUGAUUGUAGCCUUGUGUACUGUAAUUGAAGUUGAUUCUCAAGAGUAGAAUGUUCUAUUACAUAACAGUGCAGCUUAUACUGCGUAUAUCUGUGUCUCCUACAUUAUGCCUAGCCACAGGGACAAACGGUCAACAAAUAUAAUGCCAUUUUGUUUUUGUAGAUUGUAUUCAUCAUUAUUAUAAUUACAUAUUUUACUUCCAACACAGAAAUUCUUUGAAGGUAAUUAGAGGCUCACGAUAUCUAGACUAGGGAUAGAGGAAUAACGGGACGCCUAUAGACAGCGGCCAUAUUUGAGAUUGUUUCAUUUUGUAAAUUGUUUGAAAUACUCUCGAUUAUUAACAACUUUCCUAAUCACACUAAA